This 484-nucleotide ribosomal RNA is filed under the name uncultured bacterium. RNAcentral describes it as "partial 16S ribosomal RNA". It matches the Rfam family "Bacterial small subunit ribosomal RNA", at positions 30 to 507 of the family's 1533-position model. The record is from RNAcentral.
AUUGAACGCUGGCGGAAUGCUUUACACAUGCAAGUCGAGCGGCAGCGCGGCCUUCGGGCUGGCGGCGAGCGGCGAACGGGUGAGUAAUUCAUCGGAACAUGCCCAGUCGUGGGGGAUAACACUUCGAAAGAAGUGCUAAUACCGCAUACGUCCUGAGUGGGAAAGCGGGGGAUCGCAAGACCUCGCGCGAUUGGAUUGGCCGAUGUCAGAUUAGCUAGUUGGUGGGGUAAAGGCCUACCAAGGCGACGAUCUGUAGCUGGUCUGAGAGGAUGAUCAGCCACACUGGGACUGAGACACGGCCCAGACUCCUACGGGAGGCAGCAGUGGGGAAUUUUGGACAAUGGGGGCAACCCUGAUCCAGCCAUUCCGCGUGAGUGAAGAAGGCCUUCGGGUUGUAAAGCUCUUUCGGCAGGAACGAAACGGUGGGCUCUAACAUAGUCCGCUAAUGACGGUACCUGAAGAAGAAGCACCGGCUAGCUACGUG